UACGAAGGUGGCAAGCGUUACUCGGAUUUACUAGGCGUAAAGGGCAGGUAGGUGGUUUGAUAAGUCUGUUGUGGAAGCUUCCGGCUUAACUGGGAGAGGUCAACAGAAACUAUCAGGCUUGAGUAUGGGAGAGGGUACUGGAAUUCCCGGUGUAGCGGUGAAAUGCGCAGAGAUCGGGAGGAACACCAAUGGCGAAAGCAGGUGCCUGGACCAUUACUGACACUCAGCUGCGAAAGCUAGGGGAG
RNAcentral lists this ribosomal RNA (245 nucleotides) under uncultured bacterium. RNAcentral describes it as "partial 16S ribosomal RNA". It matches the Rfam family "Bacterial small subunit ribosomal RNA", at positions 524 to 768 of the family's 1533-position model. The record is from RNAcentral.